CUAUCGCCUGAAGAGGGGUUUGCGUCUGAUUAGGCAGUUGGUGAGGUAACGGCCCACCAAACCUACGAUCAGUAGCCGGUCUGAGAGGAUGAACGGCCACACUGGAACUGAGACACGGUCCAGACUCCUACGGGAGGCAGCAGUGGGGAAUCUUCCGCAAUGGACGAAAGUCUGACGGAGCAACGCCGCGUGAGUGAUGACGGCCUUCGGGUUGUAAAGCUCUGUGAUCGGGGACGAAUGGCUGGUAUGCUAAUACCAUAUCAGAGUGACGGUACCCGAAUAGCAAGCCACGGCUAACUACGUGCCAGCAGCCGCGGUAAUACGUAGGUGGCAAGCGUUGUCCGGAAUUAUUGGGCGUGAAGCGCGCGCAGGCGGCUUCUUAAGUCCAUCUUAAAAGUGCGGGGCUUAACCCCGUGAUGGGAUGGAAACUGGGAGGCUGGAGUAUCGGAGAGGAAAGUGGAAUUCCUAGUGUAGCGGUGAAAUGCGUAGAGAUUAGGAAGAACACCGGUGGCGAAGGCGACUUCCUGGACGACAACUGACGCUGAGG
This 547-nucleotide ribosomal RNA is filed under the name uncultured bacterium. RNAcentral's name for it is "bacterial SSU rRNA". It matches the Rfam family "Bacterial small subunit ribosomal RNA", at positions 212 to 751 of the family's 1533-position model. The record is from RNAcentral.